RNAcentral lists this long non-coding RNA (358 nucleotides) under Vigna radiata. RNAcentral's name for it is "long non-coding RNA (VRAD_LNC013854)". Lineage: Eukaryota; Viridiplantae; Streptophyta; Magnoliopsida; Fabales; Fabaceae. The record is from RNAcentral.
UAGACUGUCACGUAUACAUUGUAAAAAAGUUAUCAAAAAAGAGUUGUUAAAAGAAACUUUUUCCUAAAAAAUAUCCGUUUUCAGAUUGAUAUAAAGUCAUAUAUUUUUUAUACUCAUAUUUCUAUACCCUUUAACAAAUUCUGAAUAUAAUAGAAAGAAAAUUGACAAUUUCUAUUAAUUAAGGCACACGGUUGUUGAAGAAAAAAAGAAAAAAAAAACUCACUAGCUUCUUAAAACUUCCUCGUGAUAAUCUAAAUUUUAUACACAUGUGGAGACAUUUCGUGCAAGAAAAACAUAGCAUUGGGAAUGACCUCAGGAACAUCAAUCAAGCUGCAAAACUUAACAUUAAAAAAAUUUC